GAUGAACGCUGGCGGCGUGCCUAAUACAUGCAAGUCGAGCGAACAGACGAGGAGCUUGCUCCUCUGACGUUAGCGGCGGACGGGUGAGUAACACGUGGAUAACCUACCUAUAAGACUGGGAUAACUUCGGGAAACCGGAGCUAAUACCGGAUAAUAUAUUGAACCGCAUGGUUCAAUAGUGAAAGACGGUUUUGCUGUCACUUAUAGAUGGAUCCGCGCCGCAUUAGCUAGUUGGUAAGGUAACGGCUUACCAAGGCAACGAUGCGUAGCCGACCUGAGAGGGUGAUCGGCUACACUGGAACUGAGACACGGUCCAGACUACUACGGGAGGCAGCAGUAGGGAAUCUUCCGCAAUGGGCGAAAGCCUGACGGAGCAACGCCGAGUGAGUGAUGAAGGUCUUCGGAUCGUAAAACUCUGUUAUUAGGGAAGAACAAAUGUGUAAGUAACUAUGCACGUCUUGACGGUACCUAAUCAGAAAGCCACGGCUAACUACGUG
RNAcentral lists this ribosomal RNA (497 nucleotides) under uncultured bacterium. RNAcentral's name for it is "partial 16S ribosomal RNA". It matches the Rfam family "Bacterial small subunit ribosomal RNA", at positions 28 to 507 of the family's 1533-position model. The record is from RNAcentral.